UGUCAUCCAGGCGUUUGU
RNAcentral lists this unclassified non-coding RNA (18 nucleotides) under Mus musculus (house mouse). Its description in RNAcentral is "oocyte_clustered_small_RNA3258". Lineage: Eukaryota; Metazoa; Chordata; Mammalia; Rodentia; Muridae. The record is from RNAcentral.